GCUGGGCAUGAUGGCGCAUGCCUGUAAUCCCAGCAGCUCAAGAGGCUGAGGCAGGAGGAUCACAAGGGCAAAGCCAGCCUCAGCAACUUAGCAAGACCCUGUCUCAA
This 107-nucleotide small RNA is filed under the name Marmota monax (woodchuck). The record is from RNAcentral. Lineage: Eukaryota; Metazoa; Chordata; Mammalia; Rodentia; Sciuridae.